GCCUGGUGGCGGACGGCACGGCCGGGCGCUGGGGCUGCUCCAACACCGCGCUGUGGCGGUUCGAGCGCGCCGCCGCGCUC
This 80-nucleotide transfer RNA is filed under the name Cellulomonas hominis. RNAcentral describes it as "tRNA-Pro". The record is from RNAcentral. Lineage: Bacteria; Bacillati; Actinomycetota; Actinomycetes; Micrococcales; Cellulomonadaceae.